Molecule: ribosomal RNA, 1024 nt
Filed under: Streptomyces sp.
Lineage: Bacteria; Bacillati; Actinomycetota; Actinomycetes; Kitasatosporales; Streptomycetaceae
Description: bacterial SSU rRNA
Rfam family: Bacterial small subunit ribosomal RNA
Source: RNAcentral
UGAUGCAGCGACGCCGCGUGAGGGAUGACGGCCUUCGGGUUGUAAACCUCUUUCAGCAGGGAAGAAGCGAAAGUGACGGUACCUGCAGAAGAAGCGCCGGCUAACUACGUGCCAGCAGCCGCGGUAAUACGUAGGGCGCAAGCGUUGUCCGGAAUUAUUGGGCGUAAAGAGCUCGUAGGCGGUCUGUCACGUCGGAUGUGAAAGCCCGGGGCUUAACCCCGGGUCUGCAUUCGAUACGGGCAGACUAGAGUGUGGUAGGGGAGAUCGGAAUUCCUGGUGUAGCGGUGAAAUGCGCAGAUAUCAGGAGGAACACCGGUGGCGAAGGCGGAUCUCUGGGCCAUUACUGACGCUGAGGAGCGAAAGCGUGGGGAGCGAACAGGAUUAGAUACCCUGGUAGUCCACGCCGUAAACGGUGGGAACUAGGUGUUGGCGACAUUCCACGUCGUCGGUGCCGCAGCUAACGCAUUAAGUUCCCCGCCUGGGGAGUACGGCCGCAAGGCUAAAACUCAAAGGAAUUGACGGGGGCCCGCACAAGCAGCGGAGCAUGUGGCUUAAUUCGACGCAACGCGAAGAACCUUACCAAGGCUUGACAUACACCGGAAACGGCCAGAGAUGGUCGCCCCCUUGUGGUCGGUGUACAGGUGGUGCAUGGCUGUCGUCAGCUCGUGUCGUGAGAUGUUGGGUUAAGUCCCGCAACGAGCGCAACCCUUGUUCUGUGUUGCCAGCAUGCCCUUCGGGGUGAUGGGGACUCACAGGAGACUGCCGGGGUCAACUCGGAGGAAGGUGGGGACGACGUCAAGUCAUCAUGCCCCUUAUGUCUUGGGCUGCACACGUGCUACAAUGGCCGGUACAAAGAGCUGCGAAACCGUGAGGUGGAGCGAAUCUCAAAAAGCCGGUCUCAGUUCGGAUUGGGGUCUGCAACUCGACCCCAUGAAGUCGGAGUUGCUAGUAAUCGCAGAUCAGCAUUGCUGCGGUGAAUACGUUCCCGGGCCUUGUACACACCGCCCGUCACGUCACGAAAGUC